RNAcentral lists this long non-coding RNA (371 nucleotides) under Selaginella moellendorffii. Its description in RNAcentral is "long non-coding RNA (SMOE_LNC001858)". The record is from RNAcentral. Lineage: Eukaryota; Viridiplantae; Streptophyta; Lycopodiopsida; Selaginellales; Selaginellaceae.
UCGAACGAUGUUACUGAUCCCUGGAACUUUUCUCACUCGCCUCGACCUCAUCAGGUUCCAGAUCAUCGAGACCUUGUCCCACCUCCCCAUGUGUAAUCGACAGAGUACAUGUUUGAGAGACCACUAGUGUAGCAGGGCUCCAGCGCUCUCAAAGAUCUUUGCUGCGACUCUCUCAGCACAAUCAGCCAUGGAGGAGGCAAGCUCCCAUCCAGAUCACGACAUCUGGAAGGAAUGGCAUCGAGUUUGACGAGCUCCUCCGGACUCAAAGUUCUCCUGGAUCGACCCAGGACGUCGAUCAUGCAGAAAUAUAGAGUGCCCUCUCCUCGCCACCAUCCCAAAGUACUGGCUGAUCAAGACCAAGUGUUCCCAGC